UCAAGGAACCACUUGCUUACUGGAAACCAGCGUGUGAGAUGGCCCAAACCAGGGGAAAUCUUUCUACGUGUGCGCAGCUCGCCAGGGUACACCUUGCGGUUUCACUCAUCCUGCAGACAUUCCUCCCUCUCACUGUUUGCACCAUGAAGACUCUGUAGUUGAACUCCAGGCUCUGAUUAAGUCUGUCGACAAAUCCCAGCGCUACAGGCUGUACUUCCGUUGUGCGCGGUGAAUGAAGAAGGGGCAGAAGUG
Clupea harengus (Atlantic herring) is the source of this 252-nucleotide long non-coding RNA. RefSeq lists it as uncharacterized. The record is from RefSeq and is a predicted model, not a curated record. NCBI's taxonomy places the organism in Eukaryota, Metazoa, Chordata, Actinopteri, Clupeiformes, Clupeidae. The transcript has 3 exons.